GCCUUUUCUGCCUCCAUAUUCUGACUUGCUUGAGACAGCUCCAUGAAUCUGGUACAGGCUUGGGAUAAAACCAUAAGGGUCUAUGGGUCAGACUCUGUACCUUGUAACAGAGGCCACAGAUAAAUGUGAUCUGCCAGAAAGAUGUUAAUAGGUUUUUUCCAAGAUCGAGAGGCCAGUCACAUGCUUCUGCAAUCAUCUCCAAUUUUGAAGAAAACUCCAGUAAUUAUGUUCUGUAUCUGAGAUUCAUGUAAACUUAUAUUUCCUAUAUCACAAGCAUGAGGAGUCAUCUGUUAGUACCUAGCCUCUUCUCAGAAAAUUAAGAUUACUCAAACUGGAUUUAUGAUCUCUGACAUGAAAUUCCUCCCACUACU
This is a long non-coding RNA of Corapipo altera (White-ruffed manakin), 371 nucleotides long. RefSeq lists it as uncharacterized. The transcript has 3 exons. Lineage: Eukaryota; Metazoa; Chordata; Aves; Passeriformes; Pipridae. The record is from RefSeq and is a predicted model, not a curated record.